RNAcentral lists this ribosomal RNA (450 nucleotides) under uncultured bacterium. RNAcentral describes it as "bacterial SSU rRNA". It matches the Rfam family "Bacterial small subunit ribosomal RNA", at positions 354 to 796 of the family's 1533-position model. The record is from RNAcentral.
GUGGGGAAUCUUGCGCAAUGCGCGAAAGCGUGACGCAGCAACGCCGCGUGGGGGAAGACGGCCUUCGGGUUGUAAACCCCUUUCAGGAGGGACGAAGCCUAGGCCGUUAAUAGCGGUUCUAGGUGACGGUACCUCCAGAAGAAGCCCCGGCUAACUACGUGCCAGCAGCCGCGGUAAUACGUAGGGGGCAAGCGUUGUCCGGAAUUAUUGGGCGUAAAGAGCGUGUAGGCGGUCCGAUAAGUCGGCUGUGAAAGUCCAGGGCUCAACUCUGGAAUGCCGGCCGAUACUGUCGGACUAGAGUCCGGAAGAGGCAAGUGGAAUUCCCGGUGUAGCGGUGAAAUGCGCAGAUAUCGGGAGGAACACCAAUGGCGAAGGCAGCUUGCUGGGACGGCACUGACGCUGAGACGCGAAAGCGUGGGGAGCAAACAGGAUUAGAAACCCGUGUAGUCC